Molecule: ribosomal RNA, 253 nt
Filed under: uncultured bacterium
Lineage: Bacteria
Description: partial 16S ribosomal RNA
Rfam family: Bacterial small subunit ribosomal RNA
Source: RNAcentral
UACGUAGGGUGCAAGCGUUGUCCGGAAUUAUUGGGCGUAAAGAGCUCGUAGGCGGUUCGUCGCGUCGGCUGUGAAAACCCGGAGCUCAACUCCGGGCCUGCAGUCGAUACGGGCGGACUGGAGUGUUGCAGGGGAGACUGGAAUUCCUGGUGUAGCGGUGGAAUGCGCAGAUAUCAGGAGGAACACCGAUGGCGAAGGCAGGUCUCUGGGCAUUAACUGACGCUGAGGAGCGAAAGCAUGGGGAGCGAACAGG